GCCCUGGUAGCUCAACUGGAUAGAGCGGCUCCGUCCUAAGGAGAAGGUUGUAGGUUCGACUCCUAUCCGGGGUACCA
This 77-nucleotide transfer RNA is filed under the name Candidatus Saccharimonadota bacterium. RNAcentral describes it as "tRNA-Arg". It matches the Rfam family "tRNA". From Rfam's summary of the family: Transfer RNA (tRNA) molecules are approximately 80 nucleotides in length. Their secondary structure includes four short double-helical elements and three loops (D, anti-codon, and T loops). Further hydrogen bonds mediate the characteristic L-shaped molecular structure. tRNAs have two regions of fundamental functional importance: the anti-codon, which is responsible for specific mRNA codon recognition, and the 3' end, to which the tRNAs corresponding amino acid is attached (by aminoacyl-tRNA synthetases). tRNAs cope with the degeneracy of the genetic code in two manners: having more than one tRNA (with a specific anti-codon) for a particular amino acid; and 'wobble' base-pairing, i.e. permitting non-standard base-pairing at the 3rd anti-codon position. The record is from RNAcentral. Lineage: Bacteria; Candidatus Saccharimonadota. RNAcentral also lists the same sequence under 3 other names.